RNAcentral lists this long non-coding RNA (1032 nucleotides) under Papio anubis (olive baboon). RNAcentral's name for it is "lncRNA (ENSPANG00000042964.1)". The record is from RNAcentral. Lineage: Eukaryota; Metazoa; Chordata; Mammalia; Primates; Cercopithecidae.
AUGAGAUACUGGAAAUACAAAGGAGUGUAUGUAUUCUCAAACAUAUCUAUUCAUGGCCUCAAGAGGAAUGACAAAAACCUCUUUGCCCACUUCCCAAAGAAAAUGUACAUUCUUAAUUCCUUAGAGUCCUGGGUGUUCCCCCACCAUGGUGUCAAGAGCCUUCAUUCCUUCAUUGGGAAAACUGAUUCCAGUAGCUCAGCCACAGCACAGAAAGCCCAGAAUCCCGUGGGAACGGGCCCAGGGGCAAGCGGCCCCUGGUGCAUCUUCCCUUUGCAUCGAACGUGCAGGUGGCUUGCUGUGGGGAGCAUUCCGCUUUCACUCCUCGCCCCCAACCCCCGUCCGCGUAUCAAAUCUUGGGGCGCUUUGCUGUUAAAUCCCCAGAACAGACCCGAAGAGCGUUUGAAUUUCGCUACAAACCUGCAGUCACCCGUCAGGCCACGAGGUGGCGAUCGGGAGUCACUCAGGUGUAGCCCACGUGGCCGGCGGAGCGCUGAGGGGCGGCGGAGACUGCGGGGGGCUCCUAAUCGUGGCCAAAGAAGGCGGGAGCGAGGACGCCGCCUCCGCGGAGGCUUCUGUGAGCCUUGCACUGCGUGGGUGCUGCUCACCGAGGACGCCGUGGAUUCCUCACGCAACCCUGAGUGGAUGGAAGUGCGCAUUCCCAUUUCACAGGACAGGAGAGCGGGCUCAGAGAUGUUAGGGAGCCUGCCUGAGGCCACACAGCUGGGAAGCGGCAGGCUGGGGUCUGAACCAGGGCUGGGGCAGUGCAGGGACAAACGUCCUGGAGGAAAACUGAGGGAGAUGGGCAGGGAAAAACCAAAAACGAUAGCAACCGCUUUGGAGCCUUGUUAUGCCCGACCCACGGGCUCCUCACGCCGACCUGUGCGGCGGGGACGGUUGCCACCCGCUUCAUUGCUGGGGAUGGUGAGGAUCAGGAAGGCUAAAAGCCUGGGGGGCGCUGCUUUACCCGGAGCACCCUGGCCCCCGCCUACGGCGCUCCCCGAGCCCAGAGGGAGGGCCAUGAGGAGGAAGUAG